CUCUGACCUCGUUUGCCUCCCUCCACCGCACAUUUUGAGGCACCCCUGAGCGGUGCAUAGUUGCAGCAAGCUCCUCAGCAAGCCCACUGGGGCUGUCAGUCUUGACCAGUCCUGAGGAAGCUGUUUGCUUUGGGCACUUUUCUGCUUGUGAGAUGCAUCCCUUCGUAUGCUCAGUUCAGAGCAAAAUUGUUAUCUUCCCUACCUGUGAUCACAGCUAUUAAAUAAAUAACUGAAGGGAAUCUAUCUCCAGAGCAGGAUCAUCGCAGAGUUCUUCCCUACAAAUAACCGCCUCACUAAGAUGUUGUCAUCUUUGCAGACACAUCUUUACUUACUGCUGCAGGAAAUUGAAUAAUGCAUCACAUUUGUUGGAGAUUAUUGAUGUUUGGGUAGAAAAAAGAAGAGAAGAGGCAGAAGUUUUUUUGAGGACUCCCUGGGAGAAGAGAAGUGAGAAGAAGAGAAGCAGAGGGCAGUGCACCGGGAGAACAGUAUUUCUGAAGGUAAAGCAGGCGGUGAUGUGCUUUGCAGAGAGCUCUUCAUGGGCAGAACCAAAGCCAUGUGACCCAGGUUUCAGCUAAGGAGUUAUGUAC
Molecule: long non-coding RNA, 587 nt
Filed under: Fukomys damarensis (Damara mole-rat)
Lineage: Eukaryota; Metazoa; Chordata; Mammalia; Rodentia; Bathyergidae
Description: lncRNA (ENSFDAG00000033349.1)
Source: RNAcentral